CGGAAGGUAGCAUGUGUUCCACAAGUACGGCAUAAGUUUUACACGGAGCUACGGUGAAUAUUAUUUUAUACUGGCAGCCCUCCGAAGACGCAAAAGAAGUUGUGAGAAUCGAGAUAUCCCACUGGGUGGAUAAAAAACUGACCAUUCGUUGACUGGAAAACACCUUGAAUACGUCAAUCAAAACCCCCAUACGGACAUCCUGUGUUAAAACCACACAGAAGGCCUAUCCGGUUCCAGCUUCUGUUUGUCUUGGGGCAUUGUUUUAUUACCUUCCAAACUCUGCCGGGAAAAACUUAAGACAGCAGUUGCCAGGCAACAAGGACCUGACAGGAGCGGAGAGAGCGACUCGGAGCAAAAAAGGGAGGCACGGAGAGGAGGGCGGAGGUAGGGGUAGCACUCGGAGUGGAACGACAGCAGUAUCUCCACAGCUGGAGCUGCAGGUUAAGGAGCUGGUGAAGCAGCAACGCUUGCAUGUCCCCUUUUUGAGCUGCCAGCAGAGGCAGUGAGAAGGGGUAAAAUGAAUGUUUAAUCAGUUUAUUCAUGGUGCUAGAGUCUGUUUAUUAAAAGCAAGAAGUUUUAAACUACUAUUACUAGUGUAACUAAAUCUUGUCACACUGAUUUUAUUUCUUUAUUGAUUUACCGCUUUCUGUAUAAAGAAAAGUUUUGCAUUUUAAAACAUUUAAAAGAAAGGGAUCUGUGUUUUGUAGGCCUUUUAUUAGAUAGUAGAAAGGUUAUUGCAGAUUGCAAUCAACCACUCAGUCAUGUAUUCUUAUUUUUUAAGGCUGUGUGUUUACGGUGGUAAACAUGUUUUAUUACAGACUAUAGUACUGCCCAAUAAGAGUGUUGGACACUAGAGACAGGACCAAUCAGAGGUCCAGGCAGAGGCUACCAAUCCAGACUCGAUAGUCUUGU
Long non-coding RNA from Girardinichthys multiradiatus, 912 nucleotides. RefSeq lists it as uncharacterized. The record is from RefSeq and is a predicted model, not a curated record. The transcript is spliced from 3 exons. Lineage: Eukaryota; Metazoa; Chordata; Actinopteri; Cyprinodontiformes; Goodeidae.